AGACAGUACUUGGUAUAGUUUUUUGUCUGCCUAUCACGUUUGUUGUUGUUGUUGUGGAAGGAGUCGAACGUAUUGCCUUAUUUUACGUAUUUUCCUUUGUUUUUUUUCUGUAUAUUUGCUUUGUUUAAUUUUGAAGUUAGGUUGCGGCGAUUCUGGGCAUUGCAUUUUGUGGACCAGCCAGCAUUCAGCAACCCGAAAAGCUGAGGGACCAGGCCUCAAGACGCUCGGACAGCUGUCAACCACUGCGGCAGUUUUCCUAAGGAAGCAUUCAGUACAACGCGCGUGGGUGUGAUGCGAGGACGUCUGAAAAUACCACCUCAAGUUCAGCAACUUAGACCCACCAGCCAGCUGAGAAGUACACGCAGCAAACCAUAUGGGAGGACGGCGUACAGGCAGGGAUGGUGGCCAAGCAAAGGGAUCAAGAAGUUUAAAACCAGACUUAAAAUUCAGAAACAGAGAGACAACAGCCCCAGAAUUUUUUACUCUCUCGUACGUUCGAAUUGUGACCUGAACUUCCAUUUUGCCUUAAAGUAACAGAAUAUGUUAGAGGGCGUCUGUUAAACGCUUUCUUCGUAAAAAAAAAAGAACAUCUAUACUGUCUUAGAGUUCAUUGUAGGGAUGACCACUGUAUUUGCUUGUUUUUAAUUAGAACACAUCAACGUCAGAAGUUGUCCAGGAAGUGACAUGUUUUUCGUUGUAAUGUUGAGAAACAACUAGUUAUUAAAUCGG
Molecule: long non-coding RNA, 729 nt
Organism: Branchiostoma floridae (Florida lancelet)
Lineage: Eukaryota; Metazoa; Chordata; Leptocardii; Amphioxiformes; Branchiostomatidae
Exons: 2
Source: RefSeq, a predicted model, not a curated record